GUAAUCCUGGCUCAGGAUGAACGCUAGCUACAGGCUUAACACAUGCAAGUCGAGGGGCAGCAUGAACUUAGCUUGCUAAGUUUGAUGGCGACCGGCGCACGGGUGAGUAACACGUAUCCAACCUGCCGAUGACUCGGGGAUAGCCUUUCGAAAGAAAGAUUAAUACCCGAUGGCAUAGUUCUUCCGCAUGGUGGAACUAUUAAAGAAUUUCGGUCAUCGAUGGGGAUGCGUUCCAUUAGG
RNAcentral lists this ribosomal RNA (240 nucleotides) under uncultured bacterium. RNAcentral describes it as "partial 16S ribosomal RNA". It matches the Rfam family "Bacterial small subunit ribosomal RNA", at positions 13 to 245 of the family's 1533-position model. The record is from RNAcentral.